CGCCCCUCUCCUCCCCGCUGCCCCCGCAGGACCGCCCCGACGCCGACCACGACGCCGCCGAGCCCGAAGAGAAGCUGCAACCUGCAGAAUGCAAGAAAGGGCUGAUGUGUGUUGCGUCCUCGCCAUUUCUGGACAUCAAGGUUCUUGCCUUCGAUUGUCAGAUCCACCCUCCUCGCGCUGGACGGAAACCCUAGCCGCCCGUCCAUGGCGACCCACCGCAGCACCCAAAGGCCUCGACGACGGCGGUAUGGUAGGAGAAACGGCGACCAGCGACAGCCAUGGCGACCCACCGCAGCCUCCAAGACCUCGACAACGGUCAGUGCUACAGUGAGGUACAGCAACCAGCGACGGGACGAUGCCUAAAUCCACUGGUACAGGAGAGCAGCCAUGGAAUGGAAGGUCCGUUCCACCCGUUCUUCCCCGCUUGAUUGACUCUAUCUAAGAGUUCUUCGGUUUCAAGUGGAUUUUCUUCUGGGCUCCAUAAGUCAAAAUGGAGACCGCCACCACAUGGUUUCCAUCAACCCGGAGUCCAAAUCAAGGGCUGUGAACAGGGAGGUACUCAGUGAGCUAAUCAAGUUGCACGGGAAGACAUUGUGGCUUAUGCGCCUCUGUUUUUUUGGGACUGCCAUUGUGGCUGCUUCUUGUUGGUUGCAAUCAAAAUCAAUGACAAGCUAGCAAGCAAUCAUGCGUGUGUGGCCAUGGCCUUCUUUAGAAUAGGGGUGCCACUGAUCUACUAGAACUGAAUUGCUCCCCUGUUUUGCUGUGGUCGUAUGCUCUGUGGUCACUGAUGCGUGCUGCAUACCUGUAGAUUAGGACCAAAAUUUGAGCAGUUUCAGUCGUGCAGAUUAUAACUGAAUCAUGCCCUGCUUUGUUGUAGUUGUAUGAUCUUACUGCUGAAUUGAUUGUUGUAUUGUUCAAACUAAAGUCUUCCAGUUGGCUUGCUACAAUGUAUUAUAUCACUGUACUUCAGACUUAUUGUAGUAUUUAGGCCUGGGCGCUUUGGAAUUUAGCUGUAGUCUGUCCCUUAAUUUACUCCGCACUUUGCUCUGCUUGGUGAUUGGCCUGCCAUGCUACUCCAUGGUCACUGAUGCGUGCUGUAUAUACAGAUUAGGACCAAAACUGGAGUAGUUAUGACAACAUUUUGAUAUUCCUUUGCUAGCACAUGUCCUUUAUCUCUUAGCAUAUACUAUGAUUAUGACGUGUGGGCUCUUGGAAAAGCCAUCUGUCUGUGUUUCUGUAGUUAUUUGUAUUAAGUGCUCCACAUUUGUUUUUCAACAUGGACAAUCCAUAAUCAGCUUGGUUGUUAUAAGUGUAAUAUAAUUUAUCUUUGCUUAAUUUGUAUCUGAUUCCACUGUUUGAUUCCUCCCUAGAUUUGUGUCUAGUUUAAACAUUACAUGGAAUAUUUUUCAGCAGUCUGGUAGGCAACGAUGAUAUCAAUAUAAGAGGUUAUCUUAGCUUGUUAGUGUGUGCUUAGUGAACUAUAUGAGCUCUCUUUAUUGCAUCUUGUAUGCUCAUACAUUAGCAUGAAAUAGUAUUGCUCAUACAGUACAUGGAAUAUUUAUGAGCAUAGUUUUUGUGCCGUAUCCAUUUCACACCUGGCAUCUGCCAUUGUAACUUCAUGCUGAUGUAACAUGUGAAUCUGUUGGUCCUUCUUAUUGUCUUUAAAGAAGUCAAUGUACCUACCUAUUUUUAUGCUCUGUUAUUAUCUUUGAUCAGUGUCAGUUGUGUCUCUUAGAGAUACACUCCUACCUUUUCUGACUUGAGUUGUUAACUAUUGUUCCAUACUUCUGUUAGUUAUAACAAAAAAUCUUUGAAUUUGGUACUGCAUGAGUUUUUACUACUGCUAAUAGGGAGUAUUUGCUACCACUAAAACAGCGAUUUUGUAUGCACUGCUACCUGAUGAGUGAUGAGUGCUUUCUUGGUAAUAUUUCACCUUGGCAUGCAUACGUUUGUUCGGUUUGAACUUUGCAUGACAUGAUAUAAUUAUUUCCAGUGUUUUUCUCAACUUAUUUUCAUUGCCACUUGAUAUAUAGUUAGCUUGUACUUGAAGCUGUGGGUUAAUGUGGUGAUUUUGUUCUACUUGGAUGCAUUGGUACCCCCAUAAUCGAGUGCAUGGAUGCAAUGGCAAGAAGAUCAUGGCUGUACGCAUCAUCAAGCACACCAUGGAGAUAAUCGACCUCCUCACCGAUGGUGCCUAGUUUGUGAUCGCUAUUGAAGGAGCUCAAUGCUGAAGAACAUAACACUUGUAGAGUUCUGAUGGCUAUCUUGUAUUACACUUGUAGAGCUUGUAACUGUUAUUACACUUGUAGAGUUUUAAUGUCUAUCUUGUAUCACGAGUUAUUUGUACAACUAAGAAGUAUUAUGUGGUCUGUACUGAAACGAGCUUCUAA
Molecule: long non-coding RNA, 2390 nt
Organism: Triticum urartu
Lineage: Eukaryota; Viridiplantae; Streptophyta; Magnoliopsida; Poales; Poaceae
Source: RefSeq, a predicted model, not a curated record